Long non-coding RNA from Mus musculus (house mouse), 5102 nucleotides. RefSeq annotates it as predicted gene, 28042. The record is from RefSeq and is marked validated. The transcript is spliced from 27 exons. NCBI's taxonomy places the organism in Eukaryota, Metazoa, Chordata, Mammalia, Rodentia, Muridae.
AUAGGGGCGGGUUCUUGUCCCGCGGCCGUCAUGGCGGAGGCGGCUCUGGAGGCAGUUCGGAGGGCGUUGCAAGAGUUCCCGGCGGCGGCUCGCGACCUCAAUGUACCUCGUGUUGUGCCCUACCUGGAUGAGCCCCCAAGCCCACUCUGCUUCUACCGGGAUUGGGUGUGCCCCAACAGGCCCUGCAUUAUCCGAAAUGCUCUGCAGCACUGGCCAGCCCUCCAGAAGUGGUCCCUGUCCUACUUAAGAGCCACGGUGGGCUCCACGGAGGUGAGUGUGGCUGUGACUCCAGAUGGUUAUGCGGACGCGGUGCGAGGGGACCGCUUUGUGAUGCCUGCUGAACGCCGCCUGCCCAUAAGCCAUGUACUGGAUGUGUUGGAAGGUCGGGCCCAGCACCCAGGAGUCCUCUAUGUGCAGAAACAGUGUUCCAACCUGCCCACUGAGCUGCCCCAGCUUCUGUCUGACAUUGAGUCCCAUGUGCCCUGGGCCUCUGAGUCACUGGGGAAGAUGCCUGAUGCCGUGAACUUCUGGCUGGGUGAUGCAUCUGCAGUGACAUCCUUGCACAAGGACCACUAUGAGAAUCUGUACUGUGUAGUCUCUGGCGAGAAACACUUCUUGUUACAUCCACCCAGCGACCGGCCCUUCAUCCCUUACAGGAACGCUGUGCUGGUCAUGGUGAGAGUGCCUGACAGGCUGUUGGCCCCUUGUCUCCCUGACCUUGCCUUCAGAUCUCUACACACCAGCAACCUACCAGCUGACUGAAGAGGGCACUUUUAGGGUGGUGGACGAGGAAGCCAUGGAGAAGGUACCCUGGAUCCCACUGGACCCCUUGGCUCCAGACCUGACCCAGUACCCCAGUUACAGCCAGGCACAGGCCCUUCACUGCACAGUGCGGGCCGGCGAGAUGCUGUACCUGCCAGCUCUGUGGUUCCACCAUGUCCAGCAGUCCCACGGCUGUAUUGCUGUGAAUUUCUGGUAUGACAUGGAGUAUGACCUCAAGUACAGUUACUUUCAACUGAUGGACACCCUCACCAGGGCCACAGGCCUUGACUGAAGAGACCCUCAGACACUGCAAAGGACAGCGGGGAUCGACGGGGUCAUUUGAUUCUGGAGGCAGCCUAGAGUUCGAAUAUGUCCUGGCUGCUGCCCAGGUUCCCGCCUGUGUUGGGAUCAGGCAUUGCAGGAACUUGGAAUUUAGUUGGAGGUCCAAGAAAUGCCAGACAGGUCUGGGUGAACGUGCCCAGGAAAUUGCCACACAGGUGACAAGGAAGCACGGAUCAGGUACAGCAGUGCCUCUCACCAGUGCUAUGACCUUGGCAAACCUGCCCAGUCUACAUGCAGGCAAAGGUGCCAGAGACAUGCCUGCUCACUGUACGCGUCCUCCGGGCCAGUGGCUUGCCUUCCAAGGACCUAGUAACCUCCUCUGACUGCUAUGUGACUCUGAACCUGCCCACGGCUUCCAGCCACACGCUCCAGACACGCACAGUCAAGAACAGCCGAAACCCUGUCUGGAAUCAGAACUUCCACUUCCGGAUCCAUAGGCAGCUCAAGAAUGUUAUGGAACUGAAAGUCUUUGACCAUGACCUGGUGACCAGAGAUGACCCAGUAUUGUCAGUGCUGUUUGACGUGGGGACCCUGCAAAUUGGGACUCAGCGCCAGAGCUUCUCCUUGGGUACUCAGGAGAAAGGGUGCUUAGAAGUUGAGUUUCGGCUACAGACUCUGACAGACUGUGAGGAACAGCUCAUCAGCAAUGGCAUCGUGGUGGCCCGGGAACUCUCCUGCUUGCACGUUGAACUGAAGAGGACAGGAGAUCCAAAGAGGUCAGAGCGCAAAGUUCAACUUGUGGUUGCUGGGGCCUGUGAGGGCCCACAGGAUGCCUCUGCGGGCACUGGAUCUUUCCACUUCCAUUAUCCAGCCUGCUGGGAGCAAGAGCUGAAUGUUCAUCUGCAGGAUGACCCCCAUGAGCAGCUGAAGGUGCCACUACGAACUCUACCCUCCUCGCAGCUGGUGAGACUUGUCUUCCCCACGUCCCAGGAGCCACUGAUGAGGCUGGAACUCAAGAAGGAAGAAGGACCAAAGGAGCUGGCUGUGCGGCUGGGCUGUGGGCCCUGCCCUGAGGAACAGGCCUUCCUAAGCAAGAGGAAGCAGGUGGUGGCUGCCGCGCUGAAAAAGGCCUUACAGCUGGACCAAGACCUGCACGAGGAUGAGAUCCCCGUGAUUGCCGUGAUGGCCACUGGUGGUGGGAUCCGGGCCAUGACGUCUUUGUAUGGGCAGCUGGCCGGCCUGCAGGAGCUCGGCCUUCUCGACUGCAUCUCCUAUAUCACGGGGGCUUCAGGAUCCACCUGGGCACUGGCCAACCUCUAUGAGGACCCAGAGUGGUCGCAGAAGGACCUGGCAGGGCCCACUGAGGUGCUGAAGACACAGGUGACAAAGAGCAAGCUGGGUGCGUUGGCCCCUAGCCAACUUUGGCGGUACCGGCAAGAGCUGGCUGAGCGUGCUCGCCUGGGCCACCCAACCUGCUUCACCAACUUGUGGGCCCUCAUUAAUGAGGCCUUGCUGCACGACAAGCCCCAUGAACACAAACUCUCAGAUCAACGAGAGGCCCUGAGUCGAGGCCAGAACCCUCUGCCUAUCUAUUGUGCCCUCAACAGCAAGGAGCAGGGCCUGAGUACCUUUGACUUUGGGGAGUGGUGUGAGUUCUCUCCAUAUGAAGUCGGCUUCCCCAAGUAUGGAGCCUUCAUCUCCUCCGAGCUCUUUGGCUCGGAGUUCUUUAUGGGGCGGCUGGUGAAGCAGCUUCCCGAGUCCCGCAUCUGCUUCCUGGAAGGCAUCUGGAGCAAUCUGUUUGCGGCCAGCCUCCAAGACAGCUUGUACUGGUCCUCAGAACCCAGCCAGUUCUGGGACCGCUGGGCGCAGGAUCAGGCCAACCUGGACAAAGAGCAGGUCCCCCAUCUGAAGAUAGCAGAGCCACCGACAAUGGCUGGCAGGAUCGCCGAGCUCUUCACUGACCUCCUGACAAAGCGUCCCCUCGCCCACGCCACCCACAACUUCACGCGAGGCCUCCAUUUCCACAAGGACUAUUUCCAGAACUCUCACUUCUCUGCCUGGAAAGCUUCCAAACUGGACAGGCUCCCCAACCAGCUGACACCCACUGAGCCCCACCUCUGCCUCCUGGAUGUUGGCUAUCUCAUCAAUACUAGCUGCCCACCCCUCCUGCAGCCAACACGGGAUGUGGACCUCAUCUUGUCACUGGACUACAACCUCUACGGAGCCUUUCAGCAGCUGCAGCUUCUGAGCCGGUUCUGCCAGGAGCAGGGCAUCCCUUUCCCAUCCAUCUCACCCAGCCCCGAGGAGCAGCGGCAGCCUCAGGAGUGCCAUCUGUUCUGUGACCCAGCCCAGCCCGAAGCCCCGGCUGUGCUGCACUUCCCUUUGGUCAAUGACUCCUUCCAAGACUACUCUGCCCCUGGGGUGCCACGGACAUCGGAGGAGAAGGCAGCUGGGGAGGUGAAUCUGUCUUCUUCUGACUCCCCAUACCACUACACAAAAGUGACCUACAGCCAGGAAGAUGUGGACAAGCUGUUACGGCUGACGCAUUACAACAUCUGCAACAACCAGGAUCGGCUGCGGGAGGCCAUGCACCAGGCCGUGCAGCGGCGGAGAAAGCGCAAACAGUUUAGGCCGGAGUGACAGCUGAGCUACCCUGGCUGGGCUCCUGCCUGGGUCACUCUUGGUCUUUAACUCCUUUCCCCUUCUGCUCCGAGUUCAAGACCAGCAUCACCAACUGCUCCAGAGACUCUGGAAACUCUGAUGUCCAGGCACAGCUCCACAAAGGUGUGUCUGGGACUUCCACAAGUGACACUAACAUGUCAGCAGCCCUGUCACAGAGUCUAGGCUGGAAGCUGCAAGCAGAGGUGCUAUGGCCAUCAUCCAUGGAUGGACUUGGGGCUCGUUAGAGACGGGACACUGUGACACGGAACAUUUGACAUGUUACAGGGGUGCUUAUAAACGGGAGGUGCUUGUGGCACUGUCCCAAGAGUAUCUGCUGUACCAGGCUGUUACUUCCACUCUGAAAGCAGGUCCCUUCCCAAGAGGCCUCGAGCAUGGACGUUCCGGUCCUGUCACAGGUUGCCAUCUUUGCCCAGAGAUCUUGCAAUGAAGCCAUGGUUCAUCUCAGGCAUAGCCAGUGACUUGCGACAUCAGUUGCUUGUCCUCUGACAGGAGCUGUGUUCUGCACACUGGUCCUGAGCAGCCCUGGGGAGGGUACCUUUGGGUCAGUAGUCGAGUGGUUCCCAGGUGUGUCUCCACUGGUAGCCCCGAGGAUUGGUGUUGACUGAGGAUUCAUCUUAAGGUUUAGACCUGUAGGGAGAACAGAGAUUAGGAACCAACCACCCUCCCUAAACAUGGUGUCUAGUCCUCUCCAUACCUGAACAUCCCUCCUGCUCCUAGCUGAGGUGUGAGCAGGUACUAGAGGCUCUGAGAUGAGUAGGGUGUAACAACUUUGAUUCUCAUGAUCCAGCAAGCUCUGUCAGCCAGGCAAGUGUUUGUCCCAACACCAUUAGAAGCCACUAUGAGCUGGACCUGGUGGCAUAGGUCUCUAAUCCCAGCUACGCAGGAGACUAAGUCAGGAAGAGUACAAGUUCAAAGCCAGCCUGGGCUACAAGAGUGAGUUCAAGGCCACAAUUUAGCUGUCAAGUAAAAGAUAACUAAGGGGGGCUGGAGAGAUGGCUCAGUGGUUAAGAGCACUGGCUGCUAUUCCAGAGAUCCUGAGUACAAUUCCCAACAACCACAUGGUGGCUCACAACCAUCUGUAAUGGGAUCUGAUGCCACCUUCUGGUGUGCCUGAAGAUAGCAACAAUGUACUCACAUGCAUAAAAUAAAUCAAUCUUAAAAGGCUAAAUCUCAGGCUGGUGGGAUGGCUCAGCGGUUAAGAGUGCCAACUGCUCUUCCAAAGGUCCUGAGUUCAAAUCACAGCAACCACAUGGUGGCUCACAACCAUCUGUAAUGAAAUCUGAUGCCCUCUUCUAGAGUGUCUGAAGACGGCUACAGUGUACUUACAUAUAAUACAUAAAUAAAUAAAUAAAUAAAUAUUUUUUUAAAAAGUUAAA